GCAAGUCAGCAGAGCAGGAGGAAUGUUGUGUGGUCUACAGCAGUGGACAGGAAACGAAGUCUCAUAGUUACAUGCAACACAGCAUGGGAGGUAAAAUAAACCAUUUGUGUGGAUCCUAACGGCUUUCUAUGAAGUAAGGCAUCUUUCAUACACUUGAGUCCUCCAACUGAGUGAAUAAUCAACAGGCCCACGUGGAAACUCAAUUUUAGCUGAGGGACUCCAGAACAUCCACUUGUGUACCAGGGGAGAAAACCAAGACAAUGCAGUAUGAGAAAUUCUUCUUCUUUGGAACUCUCUGAGCGUCCUGGAUUUGGAUGUCUGUUUCUUGCACCAGGAAGCAGGCUGAGAAGGCUUCUCCAUCCUGGGAGAAUUUGAAGUCCAGAGAAGUCACAUGGCCACGGCAGUUCUGACAUCUGGGAAAACACUCUGAAAACCCCUUGCCCUGGAGGAGGCGAUGAUCUUUUAUUGGGCUCUU
Molecule: long non-coding RNA, 475 nt
Filed under: Equus asinus (donkey)
Lineage: Eukaryota; Metazoa; Chordata; Mammalia; Perissodactyla; Equidae
Description: lncRNA (ENSEASG00005033758.1)
Source: RNAcentral